AUGCCGAAGAUCACCAUCGCGUCGGUGCCGCCACCGCGCCGCAAACCGCCCCGCAUGGAGUACCGCGCGCGGUUCGACGAGGCAUGGUACGGUGCACGCGUGGUGGUGCAGGAUGGCUGGUUGCGUGUCAUGUUCGAGAAUUUCACCGAGGACGCAGACGAGUGGUAUGAUCCGGACGCGCCCGAGCUGGCCUCCCCGCACGCCGUGGACGCGCUGCGCGCAAGGUUCCGCGGGGCGUGCCCCACCCUGGACGAUGCCCACUGUGGUGAUCUUCGCCCGGGCGACAACCUCUGCCUUGUCUGUGAUAUACACGGCGGCGAGAUCAAAUACUACGAUGCCGUCCUCGAGGCUGUAGAGAAGGAACCUCAUGGCAUCGUGGACGACGAAGAGCACUGUGCGUGCCGUUUCACGGUGCAAUGGACGGAGGGGCCGCGCCGCAAUUGUCAGGACAAGGUGGGCGCCGAGGUGAUCUACUUCGUGCAGGAGUCACCGAUCCAAGAUCCGGUGUUGAGCGAGUUCCUAGAUGAUGUGACAAAGAGGUUCGGUGAUGAGCAAGGGAAGGCGAUGACGGCAUCUCAGGCAGCCCUGAGCGGCGAGGGGGAAAUUGCGCCGGUGUCCAGCCUCACAAACUCCCCAAGUACCUUGUCUUAUUCUUCUUAA
RNAcentral lists this ribosomal RNA (660 nucleotides) under Triticum aestivum (bread wheat). Its description in RNAcentral is "partial small subunit ribosomal RNA". Lineage: Eukaryota; Viridiplantae; Streptophyta; Magnoliopsida; Poales; Poaceae. The record is from RNAcentral.